Molecule: ribosomal RNA, 445 nt
Filed under: uncultured bacterium
Lineage: Bacteria
Description: partial 16S ribosomal RNA
Rfam family: Bacterial small subunit ribosomal RNA
Source: RNAcentral
GUAGGGAAUAUUGGGCAAUGGAUGCAAGUCUGACCCAGCCAUCCCGCGUGCCGGAAGAAGGCCCUCAGGGUUGUAAACGGCUUUUGACGGUGAAGAAUCGACAGGAUGCGUCCUGUUUUGACGGUAGCCGUUGAAUAAGCACCGGCUAACUCCGUGCCAGCAGCCGCGGUAAUACGGAGGGUGCGAGCGUUGUCCGGAUUUAUUGGGUUUAAAGGGUGCGUAGGCUGGAAGGUCAGUCAGCGGUGAAAAGCUGUCGCUUAACGAUAGUCUUGCCGCAGAUACUUCCUUUCUUGGAUGAGGAGGAGGCCACUGGAACGGAUGGUGUAGCGGUGAAAUGCAUAGAUAUCAUCCAGAACACCGAUUGCGAAGGCAGGUGGCUGUACCUUAAUCGACGCUGAUGCACGAAAGCAUGGGGAUCAAACAGGAUUAGAAACCCGUGUAGUCC